RNAcentral lists this transfer RNA (73 nucleotides) under Paramuricea clavata. It matches the Rfam family "tRNA". From Rfam's summary of the family: Transfer RNA (tRNA) molecules are approximately 80 nucleotides in length. The record is from Rfam by way of RNAcentral. Lineage: Eukaryota; Metazoa; Cnidaria; Anthozoa; Malacalcyonacea; Plexauridae.
GACCGCGUAGCUCAGUUAGCAGAGCUUUGGGCUAGUAUUCCAAAGGUUGUGGGUUCGAUUCCCACCGUGGUCA